AUACGUAGGUGGCGAGCGUUAUCCGGAAUUACUGGGUGUAAAGGGUGUGUAGGCGGGAAGGCAAGUCGGAUGUGAAAAUUAUGGGCUCAACCCAUAAAGUGCGACCGAAACUGUUUUUCUUGAGGAUCGGAGAGGUAAUGAGAAUUCCCGGUGUAGCGGUGAAAUGCGCAGAGAUCGGGAGGAAUACCGGUGGCGAAGGCGAAUUACUGGACGAUAACUGACGCUGAGACACGAAAGCGUGGGAAGCAAACAGGAUUAGAUACCCUGGUAGUCCACGCCCUAACCGAUGAAUGCUAGGUGUAGGGGAGUCAUCUUUUGUGCCGCAGCUAACGCAAUAAGCAUUCCACCUGGGGAGUACGGCCGCAAGGUUGAAACUCAAAUGAAUUGACGGGG
This 393-nucleotide ribosomal RNA is filed under the name uncultured bacterium. RNAcentral describes it as "partial 16S ribosomal RNA". It matches the Rfam family "Bacterial small subunit ribosomal RNA", at positions 523 to 918 of the family's 1533-position model. The record is from RNAcentral.